RNAcentral lists this long non-coding RNA (498 nucleotides) under Homo sapiens (human). RNAcentral describes it as "non-protein coding lnc-NOVA1-6:1". Lineage: Eukaryota; Metazoa; Chordata; Mammalia; Primates; Hominidae. The record is from RNAcentral.
UUGUAACCUUUGAAGAAAAUGGGUGCAUAGUUUAUAUUUGCAAAUAUUUAAAAUGUGGAUAGAAAUAUAACUUAGGGAUCAAGUCAUAUUAGUGGUUAAGAUCUAUUAGAUUAGUGGUUAAAAAUUUAACCACUAAAAGAUUACAUGGUUAGUUUGAUACAGAAGUCACUAAAAUAUUUUGUAACCAGUGAUCUGCACAGCAAAAGAAACUACCAUCAGAGUGAACAGGCAACCUACAAAAUGGGAGAAAAUUUUCGCAAUCUACUCAUCUGACAAAGGGCUAAUAUCCAGAAUCUACAAUGAACUCAAACAAAUUUACAAGAAAAAAACAAACAAGCCCAUCAAAAAGUGGGAGAAGCUCACUGGAAGUUCAGCUUGGAGUCUGACCUUAGCACUACCAAGGACAAAAUGAGUUACUGUGGCCAAGUCACAACUAAUCAAUACAUUAUGUUUUCAAAUGUAAACUGAGAAAACAAGUCAGAGGACAUAUCAAGAGUC